GCUCCCGGAUGUUAGCGGCGGACGGGUGAGUAACACGUGGGUAACCUGCCUGUAAGACUGGGAUAACUCCGGGAAACCGGGAGCUAAUACCGGAUAGUUCCUUGAACCGCAUGGUUCAAGGAUGAAAGACGGUUUCGGCUGUCACUUACAGAUGGACCCGCGGCGCAUUAGCUAGUUGGUGGGGUAAUGGCUCACCAAGGCGACGAUGCGUAGCCGACCUGAGAGGGUGAUCGGCCACACUGGGACUGAGACACGGCCCAGACUCCUACGGGAGGCAGCAGUAGGGAAUCUUCCGCAAUGGACGAAAGUCUGACGGAGCAACGCCGCGUGAGUGAUGAAGGUUUUCGGAUCGUAAAGCUCUGUUGUUAGGGAAGAACAAGUGCGAGAGUAACUGCUCGCACCUUGACGGUACCUAACCAGAAAGCCACGGCUAACUACGUGCCAGCAGCCGCGGUAAUACGUAGGUGGCAAGCGUUGUCCGGAAUUAUUGGGCGUAAAGGGCUCGCAGGCGGUUUCUUAAGUCUGAUGUGAAAGCCCCCGGCUCAACCGGGGAGGGUCAUUGGAAACUGGGAAACUUGAGUGCAGAAGAGGAGAGUGGAAUUCCACGUGUAGCGGUGAAAUGCGUAGAGAUGUGGAGGAACACCAGUGGCGAAGGCGACUCUCUGGUCUGUAACUGACGCUGAGGAGCGAAAGCGUGGGGAGCGAACAGGAUUAGAUACCCUGGUAGUCCACGCCGUAAACGAUGAGUGCUAAGUGUUAGGGGGUUUCCGCCCCUUAGUGCUGCAGCUAACGCAUUAAGCACUCCGCCUGGGGAGUACGGUCGCAAGACUGAAACUCAAAGGAAUUGACGGGGGCCCGCACAAGCGGUGGAGCAUGUGGUUUAAUUCGAAGCAACGCGAAGAACCUUACCAGGUCUUGACAUCCUCUGACAACCCUAGAGAUAGGGCUUUCCCUUCGGGGACAGAGUGACAGGUGGUGCAUGGUUGUCGUCAGCUCGUGUCGUGAGAUGUUGGGUUAAGUCCCGCAACGAGCGCAACCCUUGAUCUUAGUUGCCAGCAUUCAGUUGGGCACUCUAAGGUGACUGCCGGUGACAAACCGGAGGAAGGUGGGGAUGACGUCAAAUCAUCAUGCCCCUUAUGACCUGGGCUACACACGUGCUACAAUGGACAGAACAAAGGGCUGCAAGACCGCAAGGUUUAGCCAAUCCCAUAAAUCUGUUCUCAGUUCGGAUCGCAGUCUGCAACUCGACUGCGUGAAGCUGGAAUCGCUAGUAAUCGCGGAUCAGCAUGCCGCGGUGAAUACGUUCCCGGGCCUUGUACACACCGCCCGUCACACCACGAGAGUUUGCAACACCCGAAGUCGGUGAGGUAACCUUUAUGGAGCCAGCCGCCGAAA
RNAcentral lists this ribosomal RNA (1395 nucleotides) under Bacillus pumilus. RNAcentral's name for it is "bacterial SSU rRNA". It matches the Rfam family "Bacterial small subunit ribosomal RNA". The record is from RNAcentral. Lineage: Bacteria; Bacillati; Bacillota; Bacilli; Caryophanales; Bacillaceae.